Molecule: ribosomal RNA, 253 nt
Filed under: uncultured bacterium
Lineage: Bacteria
Description: partial 16S ribosomal RNA
Rfam family: Bacterial small subunit ribosomal RNA
Source: RNAcentral
UACGUAGGGACCGAGCGUUGUCCGGAUUCAUUGGGCGUAAAGCGCGUGUAGGCGGCCCGGUAAGUCCGCUGUGAAAGUCGGGGGCUCAACCCUCGAAUGCCGGUGGAUACUGUCGGGCUAGAGUGCGGGAGAGGCGAGUGGAAUUCCUGGUGUAGCGGUGAAAUGCGCAGAUAUCAGGAGGAACACCUAUUGCGAAGGCAGCUCGCUGGGACGUUACUGACGCUGAGACGCGAAAGCGUGGGGAGCAAACAGG